Molecule: transfer RNA, 71 nt
Filed under: Bemisia tabaci
Lineage: Eukaryota; Metazoa; Arthropoda; Insecta; Hemiptera; Aleyrodidae
Description: tRNA-Leu
Source: RNAcentral
AAAAAAAAAAAAAAAAAAAAAAAAAAAGUUUAGAACUUAACCAAGUAGAUUUUUUAAUACUACAUUUAGUA